UUUUCUUUUCUCGGUCCUUAAAGUCCAAUC
This 30-nucleotide non-coding RNA is filed under the name Rattus norvegicus (Norway rat). The record is from RNAcentral. Lineage: Eukaryota; Metazoa; Chordata; Mammalia; Rodentia; Muridae.